Fragaria vesca subsp. vesca is the source of this 941-nucleotide RNA transcript. RefSeq lists it as uncharacterized. NCBI's taxonomy places the organism in Eukaryota, Viridiplantae, Streptophyta, Magnoliopsida, Rosales, Rosaceae. The record is from RefSeq and is a predicted model, not a curated record. The transcript has 2 exons.
UUAGAGAAGAAAUUUGUUCAAGUAACAAAAUGGAUUUCAUGUUUUUUUUUUUUAAAUGUAAAUCGUUAUAUGUACAAAAUGAAGUAAAUGACUAUAUAGAAUGGCUCACCUGCUUCUCAUGCCCUACAUAUGUACAAAAUGAACUUCAGCUUUGGAAUGAAAUUUACCCCACCCCAAGGAGAGUGAAACGAAAACAGAUCUGAGAGUUUUGUCUCCUCCCCUUUCUCUCUUGCCCAGAUCUAGAUCUAUCUGGGUCUCGAUCGAAGGCUGAGAGUUGGGGGUGGAUCUUACAUCUCCUUCUUCUAGCUUCCUUAGUAAUCUUCUCACCCUUUUGUAGUAUUAUUUUACCCGUUUUGUGGUGAUUUUCUGGUUGAUGUCUAGAUCGGGAGGAUUUUGUUCCUCAAAUUGUCUUUUCAGUUUUUCUCAUUGUCAUCCAAUCUCAUAUGCUUCAAGAUCUAAGAUUACUCAACCCCUCAAUAGAUCAACUCUCUCUACUCAUUACCUCUAAGAAGAUGUCUAUGGUUGCAAGUAUAAAGUGCAAGUCACUUACCCACGCGAUUAUGGGUGCUCACGCAUGGGUUUUACACCCCCCCAUUCUCCAUCGGAUUUGGCUGGCAACGGAACAUCAACUUGCUCAUCCAUGCAUGUCGUUCUGCCUCCGGUGGUUGAUCAAUGGCUUUAUAGAUCGGUAGCGACUGCGACGGCGACGGCGACGGCGACGGAAGAGGCAGCAGCUAGGGUUUGCUUGGGUGGCCGCUGGUUUAGCUUUGAUGUGUUUUGUGUAAUUUUAUUUUUAUCUUUAGGGUUACCAUUUUUACCUUUUCAUGUGGAUUGGGUUGAGUGGUAACUUCCCUAAUGUUUAUCUGUACUUGGGCCUUAUUUGGGCUCUUCCAUUGGACUUUCCCCUUUGGUAAUCAUUAAUAAAACUUUUCAUUAAUUCC